RNAcentral lists this ribosomal RNA (1372 nucleotides) under uncultured bacterium. RNAcentral's name for it is "bacterial SSU rRNA". It matches the Rfam family "Bacterial small subunit ribosomal RNA", at positions 28 to 1381 of the family's 1533-position model. The record is from RNAcentral.
GAUGAACGCUGGCGGCGUGCCUAAUACAUGCAAGUCGAGCGAACGGACGAGAAGCUUGCUUCUCUGAUGUUAGCGGCGGACGGGUGAGUAACACGUGGAUAACCUACCUAUAAGACUGGGAUAACUUCGGGAAACCGGAGCUAAUACCGGAUAAUAUUUUGAACCGCAUGGUUCAAAAGUGAAAGACGGUCUUGCUGUCACUUAUAGAUGGAUCCGCGCUGCAUUAGCUAGUUGGUAAGGUAACGGCUUACCAAGGCAACGAUGCAUAGCCGACCUGAGAGGGUGAUCGGCCACACUGGAACUGAGACACGGUCCAGACUCCUACGGGAGGCAGCAGUAGGGAAUCUUCCGCAAUGGGCGAAAGCCUGACGGAGCAACGCCGCGUGAGUGAUGAAGGUCUUCGGAUCGUAAAACUCUGUUAUUAGGGAAGAACAUAUGUGUAAGUAACUGUGCACAUCUUGACGGUACCUAAUCAGAAAGCCACGGCUAACUACGUGCCAGCAGCCGCGGUAAUACGUAGGUGGCAAGCGUUAUCCGGAAUUAUUGGGCGUAAAGCGCGCGUAGGCGGUUUUUUAAGUCUGAUGUGAAAGCCCACGGCUCAACUGUGGAGGGUCAUUGGAAACUGGAAAACUUGAGUGCAGAAGAGGAAAGUGGAAUUCCAUGUGUAGCGGUGAAAUGCGCAGAGAUAUGGAGGAACACCAGUGGCGAAGGCGACUUUCUGGUCUGUAACUGACGCUGGUGUGCGAAAGCGUGGGGAUCAAACAGGAUUAGAUACCCUGGUAGUCCACGCCGUAAACGAUGAGUGCUAAGUGUUAGGGGGUUUCCGCCCCUUAGUGCUGCAGCUAACGCAUUAAGCACUCCGCCUGGGGAGUACGACCGCAAGGUUGAAACUCAAAGGAAUUGACGGGGACCCGCACAAGCGGUGGAGCAUGUGGUUUAAUUCGAAGCAACGCGAAGAACCUUACCAAAUCUUGACAUCCUUUGACAACUCUAGAGAUAGAGCCUUCCCCUUCGGGGGACAAAGUGACAGGUGGUGCAUGGUUGUCGUCAGCUCGUGUCGUGAGAUGUUGGGUUAAGUCCCGCAACGAGCGCAACCCUUAAGCUUAGUUGCCAUCAUUAAGUUGGGCACUCUAAGUUGACUGCCGGUGACAAACCGGAGGAAGGUGGGGAUGACGUCAAAUCAUCAUGCCCCUUAUGAUUUGGGCUACACACGUGCUACAAUGGACAAUACAAAGGGCAGCGAAACCGCGAGGUCAAGCAAAUCCCAUAAAGUUGUUCUCAGUUCGGAUUGUAGUCUGCAACUCGACUACAUGAAGCUGGAAUCGCUAGUAAUCGUAGAUCAGCAUGCUACGGUGAAUACGUUCCCGGGUCU